This 598-nucleotide long non-coding RNA is filed under the name Marmota monax (woodchuck). Lineage: Eukaryota; Metazoa; Chordata; Mammalia; Rodentia; Sciuridae. The record is from RNAcentral.
UCACCCUUGUGUAAUCUCCUCCUCUUUGAGCAUGGUUUGUAUCUGUGAAUAUGAUAUGUGUUCCAUGAUUGUGUUCUGUUAUGUAGCAAAAGAGAGACUAUUUGGGUAGGCCUGACCUACUCAGUUAAGUUCUUUUUUUUUUUUUCUUUUUUUCUUUCUUUCUUUUUUUUUGGUACCGGGUAUUGAACUCAGGAGCACUCAGCCACUGAGCCACAUCCCCAGUCCUAUUUUGUAUUUUAUUUAGCGACAGGGUCUCACUGAUUUGCUUAGUGCCUCACUUUUGCUGAGGCGGGCUUUGAACUUGCAAUCCUCCUGUCAGCCUCCUGAGCCACUGGGAUUACAGGCAUGUGCCAUCACACUUGGCCUCAGUCAAGUUCUUUAAAAGUAUUUUUUUCUGGCUGUUCUAAGUAGGGGAAGUCAGAGAUUCACAACCCAGGAAGCAUUCAAUGCACCAUCAUUGGCUGGAAGAUGAAGGUGGCUAUACAGCAGAAAAUUGGACUAGUCCCUAGGAGCAAGGAACCUUCAUAGAUGACAGCCAUAAGGAAAAUGAAGACUUCAGUCCAGUAGUCACAAGUAAAUUAUUUCUGUAGCAACAAGC